GCCAGGCACGGUGGUGUGUAACCUAUAGUCCCAGCUACUCAGAAGGCUGAGGUGGGAGGAUCGCUUGAGCCCAGGACUUCUGGGCUGUAGUGCGCUAUGCCGAUGGGGUGUCCGCACUAAGUUUGGCAUCAAUAUGGUUACCUCCUGGGAGCGGGUGACCACCAGGUUACCUAAGGAGGGGUGAACCAGCUCAGGUGGGAAACAGAGCAGGUCAAAACUCCCAUGCUGAUCAGUAGUGGGAUCGCGCCUGUGAAUAGCCACUGCACAGCAGCCUGGGCAACAUAUCGAGACCCUGUCUCU
Molecule: signal recognition particle RNA, 300 nt
Filed under: Aotus nancymaae (Ma's night monkey)
Lineage: Eukaryota; Metazoa; Chordata; Mammalia; Primates; Aotidae
Description: Metazoan signal recognition particle RNA (ENSANAG00000011947.1)
Rfam family: Metazoan signal recognition particle RNA
About the family: The signal recognition particle (SRP) is a universally conserved ribonucleoprotein. It is involved in the co-translational targeting of proteins to membranes.
Source: RNAcentral